RNAcentral lists this long non-coding RNA (5681 nucleotides) under Sus scrofa (pig). RNAcentral describes it as "lncRNA (ENSSSCG00000056130.1)". The record is from RNAcentral. Lineage: Eukaryota; Metazoa; Chordata; Mammalia; Artiodactyla; Suidae.
CAACUGGCCUUUCCCCACACACAUUUUUCAAAUUUGGUUCUCCAGCCUUCCAUUAAAUCUGCAUUCGAUUCCAUUUUCAUCACUAGAAAACUAGAAUUGUUCUCUGAGCCUGCAGUCACAAACCCUGACUGAUACAAUGGGUGCCUAGCUAAGGUUUUUCCCUAAGGGGAAUGAUGCCAUCCUAUUUCUGCAUUUGAAUGUUGUCUACCAUGUGGAUGUAGAAGGGGGUAGGUAGGACGACAGAUAGGAGAAAUGUACUGUGGUUGAUCUGACAAGACAUAAUAAAUAAUGAACUUGAACUAGAACAGGGAAGGAUAAAGGAAGAAAACACAAUGUGAUUGUGGAGAUACAAUUAGUUAAUUGUUAUGACUUGCUGAUUGCAAGAUGAGGGGAAAGAGUGAAAGAAGAGAGAAGGUGGUUUGUAGCUCUUGAGUGGGGCCCAAGCAGAACAUUGAUUCUAAUCCCAGAGAACAAUAUUGUGAGCCAAGAGUGUGACACACAGGGUAGUGCUUCAGUAUUAAAAGGGGAAGUUUUAGGAAGAAUAAUUAGAGCCCUUCUGGAAUGCUAUACUUGAAGGACUAGUAAAAGACUUCUUCAUGUGACUGUUACUUAUUUUGUGCUUACUCCUUGUGUAAUGUUAAUCAUUGGUCCACAAAUAUUACUAACCCAUAGUAAUAUUAUGCCUUCAAUAAUGAAGAUAUAUGAUAUUGGUUUUCAGUUAUUCUAACAUUAAAAAAUUUUAAGUAGUUAAAUCAAAAGCUGUGAAGAUGUUUGGAGACAGCCAGCUAAAUAAAAUGUUCCUAAGAAGAGCUUCCAUAAAUCUUACAUUAUUAGGAAUAUUCCAUAAUCAUAAACGGUAGGUCAGGAUAUCAUAUACAUCAAAAUAUUCAUCAAGUUAAAUUCAAACUAUAGUAUAUAUAAUAUUGAUGGAAAAUAUGCAAACAUGAAAAACAAUUUUUUUUAGGGGUUAACAAAACAAAACUUUAUGGUCUUAUGGUUCUAGUGUCCAAACCCACAUUCUCACAGUCCAAAACAAAGGUGUCUGAAGGCCACACUCCCUCUGAAACCUUUAGCAGAAUCUGCCCUUGCGGCUUUGUAGCUUCUGCUGAUUGCCUGUCGAUCUUUGGUGCUUCUUGGCUUGCAGCUAUGUCACUCAAGUCUUUGCUUCUCUUGUUAUUCACCAUCCUCUCUGGGCCUUAAGAUGGUUUUCUUAAAAGAUUACCAGUUAUCAUGGACUCAGAGCCCACUUUACUCCAGUAUGAUGUCACUUCAUCACACCUGCAAAGACCCUCAUUCCAAGUAAGGUUACUUUGGAGGUACUGGGGGCUUGGAUUUCAACAUGUCAUCUUUUACUAUUUUUAAAUCUCUGGUUUCUCCUUUAAAAAAAAAAAAAUCACACACUUAUAGUAAGAUGCAAACCUGAUUCAUUCAAGUUAAACCUCUUCUUUUUGACUGCAGUUCCUUCUCAGCCCCACAUCUCCCUACCCAAUGAGGACGUUAAUAAACAUCAAAAUAAUGAAAAUAAUUCAACCAAAACAAAAUUUUUGCCAAAAUAAGUGAAGAAUCAUUGCUAGUAAGGUCACUACACUAGAGGAAAAUCAGAACAGUUCAUCUGAUUCAGGCAAAAUCAUUAUAAUAAAAAAAAAGUGUAACGACUUCUGGAAAAUUGUUCUUUUUGGUACUCCUGGUCUGGCAUUCCCAGGAGAUAUCAGUAGCUCCAAAAUGUGUAGUCAAGAAAAAUAUCUUUUCCAAUUACAUAAAUUUGAUCAUGGAUCUCAAUAUUUAGCUUUUCUUUCUUUUUGCUUCAUUUAAUGAAAUGGACAUAUAUUUAUUAAUUGUCCCCUGGAACUUGAGGUUUUAAUUUCAAUAAUCUUAGUCAAAGAUAACUUUUGGAACCAAAAAAAAAAAAAAAACUCAACUUUCCAAGCUAUCUCAAUUAAUUUUUUUUCCUUUCUCAAAGUUUACACUCUUUCUCUUACCCUAUUGAUAAGACUCACUUAUGAACAUAUGGAGCCCAUCACUUCAAAUUAAUUAGGGACCAAUUAAAAUAGGCCUGGAGUGGGGAGGGAUGGACUGGGUGUUUGGGAUCUGCAUAUGAACACUGAGGUAUAUGGAAUUAUUGGCCAAUGGGGGCCUACUGUAUAGCACAGAGAACUCUACCCAAUAUUCUGUGAUAAACUAUGUGGGAAAAGAAUAUGAAAGAGAAUUUUUGUACAGCAGAAAUUUUCACAACCUUGUAAAUCAACUACAAUAAAACUUAAAACAUAAAUAAAUGAAUUGUUGAACAUUAAAAAUUAAUUAGAAGCCAAUUAAAAUAGGCCAGUAACAAAGUCAUGAUACAUUUCUCAUCUUUUUCCCAGCUUGAUUUCCCCCUAGCUGCCUUAUGAGUCAUAAAAAGGGAGUUUCUGUAAUGCUUCUCAAGGUUGGUGAAGAGAUAUACUCUUGGUCUAACAAAGUAUCUAUUAUAUGCUAGAAGGAGCUUUAUCUUUAAAGCACAAAUUGAUUUUCUAUUAGAUUCUCCCAACAUCCAUAAGCAUUUUUCUCCACUUUUCUCUUUCUCCUGCCCCCACUGAUAAUGAAGCAGAGAAACCCCUGGUUAUCCAAGCCAGAAGCCAGGCACUAGGACAAGUAGAAACUUGGCGAGGAGUAUGAAUAAAAGGGACUAAAGGUCCAAGAAACUGUGUUGGGAAUGGAUAAAGAAUAAGGUUUGAAAAGAAUGUUCUCUUGAGCAUGGACACAGUCUCCUCUUCUUCUUCUUCUUCUUUUUUUUCUUUUGUCUAUUCUAGGGCCACACCUGCAGCAUAUGGUGGUUCCCAGGCUAGGGGUCUAAUUGGUCAGCCCACACCAGGGCCACAGCAAUGCAGGAUCCAAGCCAUGUCUGCGACCUACACCACAGCUCACGGCAAUGCCAGAUCCUUAACCCACUGAGCGAAGCCAGGGAUCGAACCCACAACCUCAUGGUUCCUAGUCAGAUUUCUUAACCAUUGAGCCAUGACAAGAACUCCGACACAGUUUCUUCUUAAAACCUAGAAGUGGGGCCUCCAUAUCAAGUUGACUCAGCCUAGAACAAAUAGAUCAGACUAUGUCCCACCACCUCUGAAACUUGCUAUUCAGGUUGGACAAGUGAGUGUUGAUGCUCAACACCAGUGAUGAUUUUUCUACAAAUUUUUGCUUCUAAUAAAAAUAUUUGUUAUAGGUUUCAUUAUAAUUUCAGAUGUUAUAACUUGAGAAGGUACUCUCUGAUAAUAUUACACUGUGACACAAUAUUUGGCUGUGCCUUAACCAAAUUAUUCCAUAGAACUAACCCUGGCAAGACACUAGUAUAACAAUUAAACUGUUAAUAUAAGGUACAAAAAAGCAUAACUAGUGUCUGCUAGGCAUGUAUCUGAUAAGUAUUUAUAGGGUGCUGGCUAUUUACCACGAUACUAUCUCAGAGAAAAAGAGACAGAAAGGAAACUGUCUCUGAAUGAGAACAUGCCUCUAAAGGUGGCACUAUGUCUUUUUUUUUAACCUUCAUUGAAUUAUAGUUGAUUCACUAGGUCGUCAUAAUUUCUGCUGUACAACAUAGUGAUUUAAUUAUACAUAUAUACACAUCCAUUCUCUUUCAGAUUUUUUCCACAUGGAUUAUCACAGAAUAUUGGGUAGAGUUCUCUAUGCUAUACAGCAGGUCCCCAUUAGCCAGUGGUUCCAUGUGCCACAUGUGUAGAUGUCAAUCCCAAACCCCCUGCCCAUCCCUCUCUCCCCCUGACCUGUCCCCUUAGGUAGCACUAUAUCUAAUGGGAAUUCACCAAGGGUAGUUCCCAAGGGAGACCCGUUAGGAAGUGCCAGAAGGAGAUAGGUUCUCUAAAGGGGCAUGCACAACCACAUAUUUACCAGUGUUUUGGAGAAAAGUAAGAUGAGUUUUAGAGAGAGAAAGCUGAUCCAAAAAGAGAAUUCAGAGAAAAUCCUAGUAGACAUCAAUUCACUGGGGAUACUUCCAGGUCCUAGGCCAGGCAGGGAGGCCAAAUAGGAAAUAACUGUAUACUAAAAGACAAGGAGUUUUGCAUUUGACCUGUAUCAGAAAUUUAGGAAAGAACAUAGGAUAUGCAGAACAGGAAAGGCUCAGACCUUGGGUUCUGUAAUGGCUAAAAUUCUUGAACACAUCACACUCAGUGUACGCCAUUGGGACUAAAUGAGCAUUUUUGGAGGAGAGCAAGGACAAAGGAGGAAAACUCCAAUUUUUUAUCCACCCAGGAUAUAAUGGUUAACAUGCUUCUUACCUAUUUUAUUUGAAUGAUACAGACAAGAGCAGCAUGGGGUUAAGCAUUCCUUAGGCAAUUUUUGAAAGGAGAUCAGUAUACCCCUGACCUAAUAAUCUACCUCAUCUGAAAUUUCCCUUUAGUUCUCAGUGAUAUUGGAGUUCAUUUAGGUGACAGAGAUGAAACUCAAAAAGAUCCAGAGUUAACAAAAACCUGAAUAUUGCAGCCCCAUUUUACUUCUGAAGUGAUUUGAAUAACCUACCCUUUCCAGGAAUUGCUUUUUAGUGGUGGAAAAUAUUCACGAGUCCUAUGACUGUUCAUGAAACGGAAGAAAAUCCCAAACCAAGGCCAGACAAGUCCCCUCACACAAAAUUUUGCCACUUCGUGCUGCUUUUCACCAAAUAGAGACCCAGCAUUUCCAGGACCAGGUCAAAAUCAGUGAGAAGUUUGACAGUCCAGCUAUCGUUUCAAUAAACACCCUAUAAUACUUGCUGAAACUCCUCAGUGUCUUCAGAUCUUUUAAAUGAGUUGCACCAGAUUUGUGAUAAGGGCAGUGAUCACAUCAGGCUUUCUGCUCACUCCUGGUUGGUUGUAGUGAACUUCAGAAAACUUCAGAAAAAUGCAGCAGAAACUGGCUGUUAUCAAGAGCAUUAUAGCAGACCCUGGGUAGACCCUCAGCCUUCCCAUUUUCUCUUAUGGGGUGUGCAAGAAGAAUAUUUCAUAUUCUCUCUCAAAAUUAAUUUAGGGAUCCAUGUGAUCAUUGGAUCAUCCAUUGGCCAUCAUUGUUUGGCCAAUGAAAUUGGAUUGGGGGUGACAUUUACUUCUUCCUGUAUCCUCAUAUUCUUCCAGAUAAAAUCUUCUAGGUUCAACUAGAGUGUUCUCUCCUCUCUACCCUGAGGAUGAUGUAAGACUUAGAUGUGAGACUCAUAAGAUGAAAAGAGCCAGAACCCCUUAGUCACAACCCGGGAGGAAAAACUUGCCCAGAGCAAACACCCAGUUGGCUCAGACUGUGAUGCGAAUGUGUGUGUGUGUUGGGGGGUGGGGUGAUGGAGGUAUUUGCCAUUGCACCCAGCAUUAAUUGCCCUGCCACUUACCAUACAGACAUCUUUUAUACCUGCCUUCCUAAGGUGGUCUAGCAAUUUUAGGAAUCAUCCUCCUCCAAAGUCCUCCAAAAGUCCUUCAAAACAAAUAAAGGCUAAGUAUUUGCAUAGACAACAGCUGCCAGUAGUUCUGUCUUUACGACUAAACAGUCAAAACCAAACAUACUUGUAUCACCCAGCAGGCCACUUUUAUAGCUACAGUAUAUUUUUAAAUUUAAAAAGUCUUCACUCAUAAAUGACAUAGAAAUUCCCUUUUUUCAGUUUAUGAAUUUUCUACUCCAUCUGCAUUCUAAACAAGAAAGAAAUAUUGAGAGUUGUUAACCAUGGAGAAAUAUUUCCACUG